CCCUAAUCAUCAGCUGCUGUCCAUCACUACUGCCUCCACUCUGCUGCUGCUGAGCUUGUUGUUUCAGCGAACAGCAAAUGUUAUAAAGAAUUAUUGUGGACGGUUCAAACACCCACCUGGAGCUGCAGGUUGAGGCCUUAGACCCAUUUGACCAGAGUGAAUAAGGUGCCAGUGAAAUGGAUGAAGAGGAGAUCUGUGCCUAAACAGGAAAAGAACCAACAGAACCAGAUCAAUAUGUGACUAAAGUCAAUGGAAACUUUGUAUUCAAAACACCUUGCUUGUGCAACAUUAAAAGCAAUAUAAAAAUAUAUAUACAAGUAUGAAUUAGCUGUAAAGCAGAUUUAUAUUGUUGUGAACACGUCUUUGACCUUACUAAACUUCGCUAUGAAUGGAUGGAUGCCUUAUGCAAGAGUUAUAGUUUCUCUGGAGGACAGAAAUGAGUCUCAAGCGGGAAGCUUUCCCAGUUAUUUUACAGCCUGUUCAUCCCACUGUCACUUGAGAAUCUUAAAAAAACAACUGAGAAAUAUGUUGAAUGCUUAAUGCUUUAAUGCAUUCUAUGUUGUCAACAAAGUUCUGUGAAACCUAUUUAGUUUGUUGCAGCAUUUUAGUUGAUGAUGUUCACAUUUCUGUGCUAAUGACUGAACACGUCGCUUGUCUUUUAGAAAAACUGACCAGUGCAGUGCAGUAAUUAGUUUUGACAAGAACCAUAUCAAGGGUGAAAUGCAUAUGAGAAGACUAAAUAUGUGUGAACAAUUGUGGGAUUCAAAAGUGUGAGGCUUCAGAAAAUCAAAUGGAAGGUCCAGCAUCAACACUUUAUGAAUAAAAUACAAACAACAAAAAACUCAAUCUUUCAUAGUUCUCUGCAAGUCGUAUUUGUUGGUUUCACGACAAUAUAGGAACUGCCAAUUAGGGUUUCCCUUUUCACAUUUAUUUCAUAGCAUGUCAAAACUGGAAAAAUAAAAUCAACACUGUCACUUCAGUGAUGGUA
Molecule: long non-coding RNA, 988 nt
Organism: Gambusia affinis (western mosquitofish)
Lineage: Eukaryota; Metazoa; Chordata; Actinopteri; Cyprinodontiformes; Poeciliidae
Exons: 3
Source: RefSeq, a predicted model, not a curated record